RNAcentral lists this long non-coding RNA (666 nucleotides) under Volvox carteri. RNAcentral's name for it is "long non-coding RNA (VCAR_LNC003125)". The record is from RNAcentral. Lineage: Eukaryota; Viridiplantae; Chlorophyta; Chlorophyceae; Chlamydomonadales; Volvocaceae.
GCGCACAUAGCAGUUAUUAGUCGAUCGAUAAGCCUACGAUAUUAUACAUAAAAAUUUCUAAAAAAAUGGGAAGGGUGGAGGCUGGAGUGCGCCAGGUAGAGCUAAGCCUACUGUGGUGAAGUUCUGACUGACUGAGUGACCUAAGGGGGUGUUUCCAGAGUGGCGAAUGGAACAUUUCUGAUCCAGCUGCUGCACGUCCAGUGACGAUAGCGUAGACCUAAACUAUUAAGUUUAAAGUUUGUUACCGAGCGCUUAAUGAACAAUUCGGAAUGUAAUCGGGCGUAAUCGAGCUGAAUCGAGCUGGCCGCAUUCCUUUAUAUUUGCGUAGAGGGCAUCACGAGAUUUGCACAAGCUUCUGUACCCUCCUUUGCAUUGAGGACGUCCCCAACAUGUAAAUGGAAUUGCGAGCGAAUGGAGCAUUUCUUUCUGGGCUUAUUCCUCCGCCGCACUCUUCCAUUUCUCCGCCAGGAAAGUAUGAAGUACCCAGAACUAAUAUUAAGUCACCGAGCGCUUAUUAUUAAGUUUGCCGCUCCCACUUUCCGCAAUCCAUUAUUACCGAUUUGUCGCCGGCCGGCGGCGUUUUCGUUCAAAUCUCACUCACCAAAUGGUUAAUACACUGUAAAGGAUGAUCGAAGUUGAAUUCAACAGUGCCGGCGGAGAGCUAUG